This 292-nucleotide ribosomal RNA is filed under the name uncultured bacterium. RNAcentral's name for it is "partial 16S ribosomal RNA". It matches the Rfam family "Bacterial small subunit ribosomal RNA", at positions 505 to 796 of the family's 1533-position model. The record is from RNAcentral.
GUGCCAGCCGCCGCGGUAAUACGUAGGGUGCAAGCGUUAAUCGGAAUUACUGGGCGUAAAGCGUGCGCAGGCGGUUGUGCAAGACAGAUGUGAAAUCCCCGGGCUUAACCUGGGAACUGCAUUUGUGACUGCACGGCUAGAGUGUGUCAGAGGGGGGUAGAAUUCCACGUGUAGCAGUGAAAUGCGUAGAUAUGUGGAGGAAUACCGAUGGCGAAGGCAGCCCCCUGGGAUAACACUGACGCUCAUGCACGAAAGCGUGGGGAGCAAACAGGAUUAGAUACCCCCGUAGUCC